AUUUCUAUUUAUCUCAUUUAUUAUUUUUUUAUUAAUUAAAAACACCACAACAACAAACAUAUCCUUUGGAUUUAUUGCAUGCUUUCAGAAUUAUAGUCUGACUUAUUUAAUGCCAUCUCCAGUUAUGUUUGACAUACAGAACAGAGGGAUAGGAAGCAAAGAAAUACUAGUGCUGUCACAAUAAAAUGCAAGAAUAAUGCAAAAUAUGAAGAAAACACCAUAUAAGUGUACAUUUUUGAGAGGAAAAAAAGGUGAUCAAUGGUAGUUAAAAGCUCUACAAGGCAGGAAAGCAGUUGGAAUUUUAUCAUCAGUUCUUCAAUUAAUUAGCAUACAAAUAUCUGUAUUUCCCUGGUAUAUAGACUGAUGCUUUAAAGAUUCCAUCUAAUAAUGCAUGCAUUUUAUUUAAGCUACACAAGACAUCCUGAAGUCUUCUUUUUACUUUUGUGUUCAUGUAUGCACCAUAGUGCAUUUUUUUCAUUAAAUGCACCUAUUAAAAAUGUGUUAAAUAUCAAUAGUUCAAUAUGCAUUUUAUUUACCUAUUUGCUGUAUGAUUACAUCUUUUUUUUUAUUAUUUAUUUAUUUAUUUAACAUAAUGAAUGAACUGAGUAUGCUUAGUACCUUACAUGGUUGGCUCCCUUAGAAGUGUGUGCAUUUACUAAUGAGAUAAGCAGUUACCAUCAAACUAUGUUAAAUGUACUCAAAAUAAUAAAUUAUUUACAGAACAGAAAUAUCACUUUGAAGAAAGAAAGAAAGAAAGAAAGAAAGAAAGAAAGAAAGAAAGAAAGAAAGAAAGAAAGAAAGAAAGAAAGAAAGAAAGACUAAAAAUUUCUAAAAAGAACACAUCUGAAGCUCGGAGGAGUUUUAAGGUCGCACUGCAUUUUAAUUUACCUUAUUGUAAUUUACCUUAUUUUAACAAAAGCUCCGUAUGAGGCUAAAACAUAAAAAUGUUCAUGCACUGGAUCAGAACAAAGAUGUAUCUUUAUCCAUAUUAUGUUUGAAAGGGAAGUUAUACACAUAGAGCCAUAAGGCAAAAUCACUUUCAUGAGCUAUGUUUCCUAAUAUGCUUUCUGCCUUCAGAAUUGACUUAAUUGGUGCUUAACCCAAAUGGACUGCAAGAAUUCAUUACAUUCUUUAGCACAGCUUUCCAGAGAAUGAUUAUCUUCUUCUUUGGACCUGUCUCCUACAGCCUUUAUUUGUUGCCUUUUAGAUCUUAAACUAAGAGACCAUGUGAACACUCUGUCCUUGUCCACCUUCUCCAUACCACUCACAAAAAUGAAUUUCACACUUACUAAUAGAACAUUCUGAGUUGGAAAGGACCCACGAGGAUCAUCAAGUACAGAUUCUGGAAUACAAAUGAAAAGAUGAAAGACUUUCAAAGUAAAAUGGAAAAACAUCAGUUAUUCCAGCUCCCUGCAGGUGUAAGAGCA
RNAcentral lists this long non-coding RNA (1427 nucleotides) under Gallus gallus (chicken). RNAcentral describes it as "lncRNA (ENSGALG00010001031.1)". Lineage: Eukaryota; Metazoa; Chordata; Aves; Galliformes; Phasianidae. The record is from RNAcentral.